This 550-nucleotide ribosomal RNA is filed under the name uncultured bacterium. RNAcentral describes it as "bacterial SSU rRNA". It matches the Rfam family "Bacterial small subunit ribosomal RNA", at positions 355 to 896 of the family's 1533-position model. The record is from RNAcentral.
UAGGGAAUCUUCCACAAUGGACGCAAGUCUGAUGGAGCAACGCCGCGUGAGUGAAGAAGGUCUUCGGAUCGUAAAACUCUGUUGUUAGAGAAGAACACGAGUGAGAGUAACUGUUCAUUCGAUGACGGUAUCUAACCAGCAAGUCACGGCUAACUACGUGCCAGCAGCCGCGGUAAUACGUAGGUGGCAAGCGUUAUCCGGAUUUAUUGGGCGUAAAGAGAGUGCAGGCGGUUUUCUAAGUCUGAUGUGAAAGCCUUCGGCUUAACCGGAGAAGUGCAUCGGAAACUGGAUAACUUGAGUGCAGAAGAGGGUAGUGGAACUCCAUGUGUAGCGGUGGAAUGCGUAGAUAUAUGGAAGAACACCAGUGGCGAAGGCGGCUACCUGGUCUGCAACUGACGCUGAGACUCGAAGGCAUGGGUAGCGAACAGGAUUAGAUACCCUGGUAGUCCAUGCCGUAAACGAUGAGUGCUAGGUGUUGGAGGGUUUCCGCCCUUCAGUGCCGGAGCUAACGCAUUAAGCACUCCGCCUGGGGAGUACGACCGCAAGGUUG